UUCAUAAUAUUUGAUUGAGACUCUGACGUAAAGAGACAGCGUUCGGUGGUCCUCCGGAGGCGGCGGCGGACGCUCUGCCCCCGAGGCAAAAGGGUUUGUCAACAAAGGGUUGGGGGACGGGGGCCGAAGCCCACCAUCUCUCGUAAUGAUCCCUCCGCAGGUUCACCUACGGAGA
This 175-nucleotide unclassified non-coding RNA is filed under the name uncultured fungus. RNAcentral describes it as "sequence contains ITS1". Lineage: Eukaryota; Fungi. The record is from RNAcentral.